This 254-nucleotide ribosomal RNA is filed under the name uncultured bacterium. RNAcentral's name for it is "partial 16S ribosomal RNA". It matches the Rfam family "Bacterial small subunit ribosomal RNA", at positions 524 to 776 of the family's 1533-position model. The record is from RNAcentral.
UACAGAGACUGCAAGCGUUAUUCGGAUUCACUGGGCGUAAAGGGUGCGCAGGCGGUCGGGUGUGUCAGAUGUGAAAUCCCGAGGCUCAACCUCGGAACUGCGUCUGAAACUACUCGACUAGAGUACUGGAGAGGGUAACGGAAUUCACGGUGUAGCAGUGAAAUGCAUAGAUAUCGUGAGGAACACCAGAGGCGAAGGCGGUUACCUGGACAGUUACUGACGCUCAGGCACGAAAGCAUGGGGGAGCAAAAGGG